AACGAACGCUGGCGGCAGGCCUAACACAUGCAAGUCGAACGGACCCUUCGGGGUUAGUGGCGGACGGGUGAGUAACACGUGGGAACGUGCCUCUAGGUUCGGAAUAGCUCCUGGAAACGGGUGGUAAUGCCGAAUGUGCCCUUCGGGGGAAAGAUUUAUCGCCUUUAGAGCGGCCCGCGUCUGAUUAGCUAGUUGGUGGGGUAAUGGCUCACCAAGGCGACGAUCAGUAGCUGGUCUGAGAGGAGGACCAGCCACACUGGGACUGAGACACGGCCCAGACUCCUACGGGAGGCAGCAGUGGGGAAUCUUGCGCAAUGGGCGAAAGCCUGACGCAGCCAUGCCGCGUGAAUGAUGAAGGUCUUAGGAUUGUAAAAUUCUUUCACCGGGGACGAUAAUGACGGUACCCGGAGAAGAAGCCCCGGCUAACUUCGUGCCAGCCGCCGCCGUAA
RNAcentral lists this ribosomal RNA (449 nucleotides) under uncultured bacterium. RNAcentral describes it as "partial 16S ribosomal RNA". It matches the Rfam family "Bacterial small subunit ribosomal RNA", at positions 29 to 523 of the family's 1533-position model. The record is from RNAcentral.